Molecule: ribosomal RNA, 497 nt
Filed under: uncultured bacterium
Lineage: Bacteria
Description: partial 16S ribosomal RNA
Rfam family: Bacterial small subunit ribosomal RNA
Source: RNAcentral
GAUGAACGCUGGCGGCGUGCCUAAUACAUGCAAGUCGAGCGAACAGACGAGGAGCUUGCUCCACUGACGUUAGCGGCGGACGGGUGAGUAACACGUGGAGAACCUACCUAUAAGACUGGGAUAACUUCGGGAAACCGGAGCUAAUACCGGAUAAUAUCUUUAACCGCAUGGUUCAAUAGUGAAAGACGGAUUUGCUUUCACUUAUAGAUGGAUCCCCGCCGCAUUAGCUAGUUGGUAAGGUGACGGCUUACCAAGGCAACAAUGAGUAGCCGACCGAGGAGGUUGAUCGGCCACACUGGAACUGGAACACGGUCCAGACUCCUACGGAAGGCAGCAGUAGGAAAUCUUCCGCAAUGGGGGAAGUCCUGCCGGAGCAACGCCGCGUGAGUGAUGAAGGUCUUCGGAUCUUAAAACUCUGUUAUUAGGGAAGAACAAAUGUGUAAGUAACUAUGCACGUCUUGACGGUACCUAAUCAGAAAGCCACGGCUAACUACGUG